This 643-nucleotide ribosomal RNA is filed under the name uncultured bacterium. RNAcentral's name for it is "bacterial SSU rRNA". It matches the Rfam family "Bacterial small subunit ribosomal RNA", at positions 232 to 885 of the family's 1533-position model. The record is from RNAcentral.
CGCGGCCUAUCAGCUUGUUGGUGAGGUAAUGGCUCACCAAGGCUUCGACGGGUAGCCGGCCUGAGAGGGCGACCGGCCACACUGGGACUGAGAUACGGCCCAGACUCCUACGGGAGGCAGCAGUGGGGAAUAUUGCACAAUGGGCGCAAGCCUGAUGCAGCAACGCCGCGUGCGGGAUGGCGGCCUUCGGGUUGUAAACCGCUUUCAGUAGGGACGAAGCUAACGUGACGGUACCUACAGAAGAAGGACCGGCUAACUACGUGCCAGCAGCCGCGGUGAUACGUAGGGUCCGAGCGUUGUCCGGAAUUAUUGGGCGUAAAGGGCUUGUAGGCGGUCCGUCGCGUCAGGAGUGAAAACUCGGGGCUUAACCCCGAGCCUGCUUUUGAUACGGGCGGACUAGAGGGAUGCAGGGGAGAACGGAAUUCCUGGUGGAGCGGUGGAAUGCGCAGAUAUCAGGAGGAACACCGGUGGCGAAGGCGGUUCUCUGGGCAUCACCUGACGCUGAGAAGCGAAAGCGUGGGGAGCAAACAGGCUUAGAUACCCUGGUAGUCCACGCCGUAAACGGUGGGCACUAGGUGUGGGGGACAUUCCACGUUCUCCGUGCCGAAGCUAACGCAUUAAGUGCCCCGCCUGGGGAGUACGG